UUUGUGGGGGAUAACAGUUGGAAACGACUGCUAAUACCGCAUACGCCCUACGGGGGAAAGCAGGGGACCUUCGGGCCUUGCGCUGAUGGAUAAGCCCAGGUGGGAUUAGCUAGUAGGUGAGGUAAAGGCUCACCUAGGCGACGAUCCCUAGCUGGUCUGAGAGGAUGAUCAGCCACACUGGGACUGAGACACGGCCCACACUCCUACGGGAGGCAGCAGUGGGGAAUAUUGCACAAUGGGGGAAACCCUGAUGCAGCCAUGCCGCGUGUGUGAAGAAGGCCUUCGGGUUGUAAAGCACUUUCAGCGAGGAGGAAAGGGUGUAAGUUAAUACCUUACAUCUGUGACGUUACUCGCAGAAGAAGCACCGGCUAACUCCGUGCCAGCAGCCGCGGUAAUACGGAGGGUGCGAGCGUUAAUCGGAAUUACUGGGCGUAAAGCGUGCGCAGGCGGUUUGUUAAGCGAGAUGUGAAAGCCCCGGGCUCAACCUGGGAACCGCAUUUCGAACUGGCAAACUAGAGUCUUGUAGAGGGGGGUAGAAUUCCAGGUGUAGCGGUGAAAUGCGUAGAGAUCUGGAGGAAUACCGGUGGCGAAGGCGGCCCCCUGGACAAAGACUGACGCUCAGGCACGAAAGCGUGGGGAGCAAACAGGAUUAGAUACCCUGGUAGUCCACGCCGUAAACGAUGUCAACUCGGAGUUUGGUGUCUUGACCCUGGGCUCUCAAGCUAUCG
This 728-nucleotide ribosomal RNA is filed under the name Shewanella algae. Its description in RNAcentral is "bacterial SSU rRNA". It matches the Rfam family "Bacterial small subunit ribosomal RNA", at positions 133 to 857 of the family's 1533-position model. The record is from RNAcentral. Lineage: Bacteria; Pseudomonadati; Pseudomonadota; Gammaproteobacteria; Alteromonadales; Shewanellaceae.